RNAcentral lists this ribosomal RNA (118 nucleotides) under Acetobacterium malicum subsp. dehalogenans. Lineage: Bacteria; Bacillati; Bacillota; Clostridia; Eubacteriales; Eubacteriaceae. The record is from RNAcentral.
UCUCGCGACGAUGGCGGAAGGGCCACACCUGUUCCCAUACCGAACACAGAAGUAAAGUCUUCCAGCGCCGAAAGUACUUGGUGGGNAACUGCCUGGGAGGAUAGGACGUUGCGGGACU